UCAAUCUGAUAAGAACGAAGAUAAGAAUGGAAGGUUUUGGGAGUAGAAACAGCAAAAACUCUGGAGACCAACCAUCGCAGAAGUGGAUGACCCCAUGUCAGAAACAUGGAGAUUACAUCAGGAUCAAGAGGAACGCCGGGCCGGCGUGAAUUCCCAUUCCUGGGAAAAUUAUGCAGCUUAAGGAGAAGACCUGUAGAGGGCUGCUGACAAGAUGGAGAAUGGGCAGGUUCAUAUGGAUACAUCAGCAGGUGAAUAUUUUUAGCACGGGCUAAGAAAUGAGUAGCUACACUAUAUGUGAUCGAGAGUUUAUGAAAGAUGGCAAACCAGCAGAGAAAUCAAAGCCGAAAGAUCAACAAACAAUCCACGCGAAUCCCUUGCCGACCAUUUCUAGCAUUUUCUGUUUUUGUCAGAUACUGCUGUAUUUUGCUUUGAGAAUAUCAGAACAAAGGGCUCCAGAGAUCACAAAGCUUUUUGGGACCCUUGAUGGAGACUGCUGCCUUUGAAAAAAAUCCCUGAUCCAAAUCAUACUGAACACAUCCUCUCCAAAGAAGUUAUGUUUCAAAAGAUCAUCUUGCCAUUGUGAUUUCGAGAUAAAACACGUUGUUCUGGAUUCAGAAGCAAUUGUAAGCAUGUUGCAUUUCAUUAGACUACUAUCCAGGAGUUACUCACUUUAUUUUUUAUUUUCUUUUAAUUAUUCCUGUUAAUACAUGCUUUCAAGCAUAAAAAAUGUAACAUCUGCAACAGUCCGACAUACCUGGUGACAGGGUAUUUCACCUUAACUCCAGCAAUUAGGGUACAAGCCAGUAAUUUCACUGACUCCAGCAAUCAGCAGAACAUUGGGUAUGAACAGUGGGAGCCAUUCUGAGCACUUAUUCUGCAGUUCUAUUUCUGACUUUUUGCAAAUGCCUCAUUUUCAUUUCUCCAUCGCUGGCUUCAAGCCCUAUGCUCUGGAAGUCCUUCCUAAAGCUUUCUCUCCUUUAAGACUCUCCUCAAACCUUUUAAUUUUAACCAAGACUUUGGUCCCCUGUCCUUAUAUCCUAUAAUAUGUUUGGGUAUCAAUUUUUUUGCAACAGUCCCAUAAAUGCAUUGGAGUGUUUUGUAAUGUUAAAGGUAAUAUUUAAAUACUACUACUUUAAAUAAGUUGCUACUGUUUCACUGUGAGGUAUUUUGCUCAGUGCAUAAGUAACCCUAUUACUUUUCAGUGUUGAAAAGGUUGGACCCUUUUCCCACUGUUUAUUGGCUAUAACUGCAAUACCGCAUGCCCUGUGAAUACAAAACUAGCAAUACAUGCAGGAAAUACAGCUCUUCAUUUAACCCUGUCCAGGGAUUUCAUGCAGUAUUCUCAUGCAGUGAAUUUCGGUAACUUGAGACCUGAUUGAGAUGUUGUAUAUGAAUAUUAAAUGGGUUCUGCUUUUUGGGUUAAUUGACUUGGCUAAAAGCAAAGUGCAGAAUAAUGAAAACUGCAUUCCUAAAUUGAUCUUUGCUUCUACAGUAUUUUUCAGCUUUUUAUUUCAAACCUCUGGCUUAUGAAAGUGUCUGCAUUGACCAAUAAAAUGUACUCUGAUACUGUUGACAUUCA
This is a long non-coding RNA of Pristis pectinata (smalltooth sawfish), 1579 nucleotides long. RefSeq lists it as uncharacterized. NCBI's taxonomy places the organism in Eukaryota, Metazoa, Chordata, Chondrichthyes, Rhinopristiformes, Pristidae. The transcript is spliced from 3 exons. The record is from RefSeq and is a predicted model, not a curated record.